GAUGAAGAACGUAGCGAAAUGCGAUAAGUAAUGUGAAUUGCAGAAUUCAGUGAAUCAUCGAAUCUUUGAACGCACAUUGCGCCCGCCAGUAUUCUGGCGGGCAUGCCUGUUCGAGCGUCAUUACAACCCUCAGGCCCCCGGGCCUGGCGUUGGGGAUCGGCGGAAGCCCCCUGCGGGCACAACGCCGUCCCCCAAAUACAGUGGUGGUCCCGCCGCAGCUUCCAUUGCGUAGUAGCUAACACCUCGCAACUGGAGAGCGGCGCGGCCACGCCGUAAAACACCCAACUUCUGAAUGUUGACCUCGGAUCAGGUAGGGAUACCCGCUGAACUUAAGCAUAUCAAUAAGCGGAGGA
Molecule: unclassified non-coding RNA, 353 nt
Filed under: soil metagenome
Description: partial contains 5.8S ribosomal RNA, internal transcribed spacer 2, and large subunit ribosomal RNA
Rfam family: 5.8S ribosomal RNA (bases 1-120)
Source: RNAcentral